GACGAACGCUGGCGGCGUGCCUAAUACAUGCAAGUAGAACGCUGAAGGAGGAGCUUGCUUCUCCGGAUGAGUUGCGAACGGGUGAGUAACGCGUAGGUAACCUGCCUGGUAGCGGGGGAUAACUAUUGGAAACGAUAGCUAAUACCGCAUAAGAGUAGAUGUCGCAUGACAUUUGCUUAAAAGGUGCAACUGCACCACUACCAGAUGGACCUGCGUUGUAUUAGCUAGUUGGUGAGGUAACGGCUCACCAAGGCAACGAUACAUAGCCGACCUGAGAGGGUGAUCGGCCACACUGGGACUGAGACACGGCCCAGACUCCUACGGGAGGCAGCAGGAGGGAAUCUUCGGCAAUGGACGGAAGUCUGACCGAGCAACGCCGCGGGAGUGAAGAAGGUUUUCGGAUCGUAAAGCUCUGUUGUAAGAGAAGAACGAGUGUGAGAGUGGAAAGUUCACACUGUGACGGUAUCUUACCAGAAAGGGACGGCUAACUACGUG
This 495-nucleotide ribosomal RNA is filed under the name uncultured bacterium. RNAcentral describes it as "partial 16S ribosomal RNA". It matches the Rfam family "Bacterial small subunit ribosomal RNA", at positions 28 to 507 of the family's 1533-position model. The record is from RNAcentral.